Molecule: ribosomal RNA, 279 nt
Filed under: uncultured bacterium
Lineage: Bacteria
Description: partial 16S ribosomal RNA
Rfam family: Bacterial small subunit ribosomal RNA
Source: RNAcentral
UGCCAGCCGCCGCGGUAAUACGAAGGGGGCUAGCGUUGUUCGGAUUUACUGGGCGUAAAGAGCACGUAGGCGGUUUGUAUAGUCAGAGGUGAAAGGCCGGGGCUCAACCCCGGAACUGCCUUUGAUACUGACAAACUAGAGUCCGAGAGAGGGUGGUGGAACUCCAAGUGUAGAGGUGAAAUUCGUAGAUAUUUGGAAGAACACCAGUGGCGAAGGCGGCCACCUGGCUCGGUACUGACGCUGAGGUGCGAAAGCGUGGGGAGCAAACAGGAUUAGAUA